AUGAACGCUGGCGGCUUGCCUAAUACAUGCAAGUCGAGCGAACAGACGAGGAGCUUGCUCCUCUGACGUUCGCGGCGGACGGGUGAGUAACCCGUGGAUAACCUACCUAUAAGACUGGGAUAACUUCGGGAAACCGGAGCUAAUACCGGAUAAUAUAUUGAACCGCCUGGUUCAAUAGUGAAAGACGGUUUUGCUGUCACUUAUAGCUGGAUCCGCGCCGCAUUAGCUAGUUGGUAAGGUAACGGCUUACCAAGGCAACGAUGCGUAGCCGACCUGAGAGGGUGAUCGGCCACACUGGAACUGAGACACGGUCCAGACUCCUACGGGAGGCAGCAGUAGGGAAUCUUCCGCAAUGGGCGAAAGCUUGACGGAGCAACGCCGCGUGAGUGAUGAAGGUCUUCGGAUCGUAAAACUCUGUUAUUAGGGAAGAACAAAUGUGUAAGUAACUAUGCACGUCUUGACGGUACCUAAUCAGAAAGCCACGGCUAACUACGUG
RNAcentral lists this ribosomal RNA (496 nucleotides) under uncultured bacterium. RNAcentral's name for it is "partial 16S ribosomal RNA". It matches the Rfam family "Bacterial small subunit ribosomal RNA", at positions 29 to 507 of the family's 1533-position model. The record is from RNAcentral.